This is a long non-coding RNA of Raphanus sativus (radish), 929 nucleotides long. RefSeq lists it as uncharacterized. NCBI's taxonomy places the organism in Eukaryota, Viridiplantae, Streptophyta, Magnoliopsida, Brassicales, Brassicaceae. The transcript has 4 exons. The record is from RefSeq and is a predicted model, not a curated record.
CAGUCACACUUAUACAAGGGUCAAAUUGUGCUUGCCACAAGCGUAAAUCCCAAGAUAGUUGGGGGACGGUUAUUUCUCAACGCUACUUCAGCCACGCAUCUGUACUUUGAUUCUGAGACAUCAGCAGGAAAAGAAGUUUUUGAAAAGCAAAUCAUAUAUUUCUUACUGGCUAAAUCGAGAUUGUUGUACAUUGAGUAUAUAUUUAUGUUUCAUGCUAUAUUUAUAGCAGAUUGCCUAGACAUGGAGCAGAUCAGCCCACGCCUUCAUCCAAGGUUGUUCAUGCCCAGAAGAUUGAACCCCUGACCGUUUCUGAGCUUAAUCAGUUUAUCAUCACUGCUGAAACUCAUAUUAUAGAGUUCUUUGCACUGCUAAGGUGACCGGUAUCCAACAGGAUGACGGUUGGUGUUGGAGUGUUCGAAGAAACUCCUCCGAGAGAUCUCUUCCUUCACAUGUGUUUCAUGUAAUGAAACAAAUCAUGUGCAUCACUCAGUGGAGAGAGCCAGCUAUCGGAAAAUGAAUGAUUGAUUCCCUUGGAUGGAGAGAGAACACAGCAAGAGCAGACAACUGCUGGAGAAGGUUCAAACGUUUGAUCCAUGUAGUUGGAGUGACGCAACUUCCGUCUUACAUGACAACUUAUGAGAACACAAGGGCUACCAUAACAUGCCACCGAGAGAGCGGUGUGACACAUGCUUCUAUUAUAAGCAAAUUACAAAAUUUGUUUUCAUUAUAUAGACGCAAGUACACGUCAAACAGUGAGAGACAAAACAAUUCCUAUAAUAUUUUGUUGCUGUUUGUUCUUUUUUUCAUUUUUCCAUCAUAGCUAAUAAGUGGUUCGUUGUCCCCUUCUGGAGAAGGGAUCAAAUCCAUCAGAUGCUUUCUGUAUUUUGAUUUAACAGAUGAGAUAAUAAAAACUAAAAUAAGCUUUAUUA